This 1497-nucleotide long non-coding RNA is filed under the name Mytilus galloprovincialis (Mediterranean mussel). The record is from RNAcentral. Lineage: Eukaryota; Metazoa; Mollusca; Bivalvia; Mytilida; Mytilidae.
CUAAACAGCUGCGCUACGAGCGCAUGAUACGCCCGUCGUCUUAUGAAAAAAAAUAAUACAUGUUUUUAAAAUAACACGGGGUUGUACAGGAAGUCAUGCGAAGUAUAUCCUGACUCAUUCCUUAUUCUUGCUCAAAAAGAAGUUUGUAUAUCACAACUUGUUUUCUAUGAUACCAAAUUGAAGCUCAAUAAAAAAAUCACUGAGAACUCAAAAAUGAAUUAAAGAAUCAUCACCAAAAAAUAUACAGAUCUUAAGAAUAAUUUAACUAACAAGUAUGUGAAAUUUUUUAUGCAAUAAUUAUAUCCUAUCGUAGUCUAAAAUCGUUCAUCUUGUCAGUUCGUUAGGUAUUUGUGUUUGAACUUAACACACGGGGAAACUCCGCAUUGACGUCACUACGCUACUUCCGGCGUAGAAAAACAAUGUAGAAUACGUUUUUUCUGCACUUUUGAAUAAAAAAACAUUUCUGAAGGUAAGUUUUCAUUGUUGUUCUCAAUUAUUGCUAAAAAAUGCCAAAUUUCUAAUGCCCGUUUCAAUCCCGACUUCCGAAUGUCUAAAAACAUUCUAGAACUUCACAAAAUCCCACUUCCGGCCUCCAUUGCUUUGUGUACAUUCCAUUCAGCGUCAUCAAUCUUGUGGCAGGCAAUACAGGUCAAGCAAAUCGUAUUUUUAGGAAUUUUAAAAUGACAUGCUCCUUACGUCUUUCGCGAUUUUCCCGCGAAAAAAGCCCAACCAAAAUGAAAGGAAAACUAAUUGAAAAAACGAUGCCCGUGCCAUAAUUUUGUACAGGAAUAUAGAGUAGGUUAAUGAAAAAUAAUUUACAUUUAUUUUUCAUAGAAUUUUCUUUUUAUUCAUUAUAAAAAGAUUGAUAUUCUGACCAUCAUGACUCUAGAUAAAUAUUCAUACAGAAUUCCAUUGAUGUCAAAAGGGAUGGCAAAAAAAGAGUUUUCCUGUUGAAUAAAACCCAAAAUUAUUGCAAACUAUUUUGAAGCAAUAUCCCACAAAGAAAUAACGUAAUUGCCGUAGACUGGAAAAUCCCCUAAUUGACAGUAGAGCAAUUUGAUUGGGUAGAACGAAUUGACAUCACGUGAUUUUGACGCCAUUGAAAUUUAAAUGUAAACAAACAAGGUCAGAAGGUUCAGUAUGGGACAGCAUCGUACAUUUAGUUACUGACAAAUAAUUAUGAGUUACCAAGCUUGACAAUGCAUGGUAAUAAAAAUGAAAGCUAAGUGUACAGAAAAAAUAAGAAAAAAAUAGCCUUAGGAUAACGACUUAUCAUUACACCUGGAUACUAGUGUUAUCGACGGCUAGCUUCACACUAGUAAUAAUUAUCAAUAGAUUCUGAGGUACGGUGGGACAUGUGAAAACCCCCUCUUUUUCAUAAACUCAAUAGCUCUAAAAAUAAAAUUUGAAUCAUCCUCAAAAAGUAUACUACAGAUGUUCUGAUUCAUUUAACUAAGAAGUGUGUAAAGUUUUAAGCAAUAAUCAUUAUUCGUUUUU